CGCGUAGGCGGUUCGAUUAGUCGGAGGUGAAAUCCCUCGGCUCAACCGAGGACCCGCGUCCGAUACUGUCGAACUUGAGUGCAGGAGAGGAGAGCGGAAUUCCCAGUGUAGCGGUGAAAUGCGUAGAUAUUGGGAGGAACACCGGUGGCGAAGGCGGCUCUCUGGACUGUUACUGACGCUGAGGCGCGAAAGCUAGGGGAGCAAACGGGAUUAGAUACCCCGGUAGUCCUAGCCGUAAACGAUGGGCACUAGGUGUGGGAGGUAUCGACCCCUUCCGUGCCGCAGCUAACGCAUUAAGUGCCCCGCCUGGGGAGUACGGCCGCAAGGUUGAA
This 332-nucleotide ribosomal RNA is filed under the name uncultured bacterium. Its description in RNAcentral is "bacterial SSU rRNA". It matches the Rfam family "Bacterial small subunit ribosomal RNA", at positions 568 to 898 of the family's 1533-position model. The record is from RNAcentral.